Molecule: small RNA, 126 nt
Filed under: Marmota monax (woodchuck)
Lineage: Eukaryota; Metazoa; Chordata; Mammalia; Rodentia; Sciuridae
Source: RNAcentral
GCUGGGCUUGGUGGCCUAUGCCUGUAAUCCCAGGGGCUCAGAGGCUGAGGUAGGAGGAUCAUGAGUUCAAAGCCAGCCUCAGCAAUUUAGUGAGGCCCUAGGCAACUCAGCAAGAUCCUGUCUCUA